This 1878-nucleotide ribosomal RNA is filed under the name Copromyxa sp. PKD 2011. RNAcentral's name for it is "SSU rRNA". It matches the Rfam family "Eukaryotic small subunit ribosomal RNA". The record is from RNAcentral. Lineage: Eukaryota; Tubulinea; Elardia; Euamoebida; Hartmannellidae.
ACCUGGUUGAUCCUGCCAGCAAUCAUAUGCUUGUCUCAAAGAUUAAGCCAUGCAUGUCUAAGUAUAAGUGUUUAUACAGCGAAACUGCGAAUGGCUCAUUAUAUCAGUUAUAAUCUACUCGAUUGAUUCUGUUACUUGGAUAACUGUAGGAAUUCUAGAGCUAAUACAUGCGAAAAGUCUGGAUCGGGGCAACUCGAGAAGGACGCAUUUACUAGACCAGAAACCAGUCAGGGGGCAACUCCUGAAACUAAGAUGAUCCAUAGUAAGUUUCAUGCGAAUCGAAGGCUUAAGUCUUCGAUGAUGCGAACGAGUUUCUGCCCUAUCAACUUUCAACCGUAGUGUAGGGGACUACGGUGGUUGCAACGGGUACGGGGAAUUAGGGUUCGAUUCCGGAGAGGCCGCCUGAGAAACGGCGACCACUUCCAAGGAAGGCAGCAGGCGCGUAAAUUAUCCAAUCCCAAUUCGGGGAGAUAGUGACAAGAAAUACCGGUGUAGGGCCUUAUGGGUCUUACGAUCGGAAUGAGUACAAUUUAAAAACAUUAACGAGGAACAAUUGGAGGGCAAGUCUGGUGCCAGCAGCCGCGGUAAUUCCAGCUCCAAGAGUGUAUAUUAAAGUUGUUGCGGUUAAAAAGCUCGUAGUUGGACUUAAAUUCAGAGUGAAGCGGUCCCUGUUAACUAAGGUUUUCAGGAUCAAGGCCGAUCAUUUCUGUCUUUUCUCUCGGAACGUCAAGCCUUCGGGCUGUUUCGUAGGGUUUACUUUGAAUAAAUUAGGGUGUUCAAAGCAGGCGUAAUCGCCUUGAAUACAUUAGCAUGGGAUAAUAAAAGAUGACCUUUGGUCUAUACUUUAUUGGUUUCUAAGGCCAAGGUAAUGAUUAAUAGGGACAGUUGGGGUCGCUUCUAUUCAGUGGUCAGAGGUGAAAUUCUAGGACCCACUGAGGAGAAACAAAUGCGAAGGCAUUCGACAAGGAUGUUUUCAUUAAUCAAGAACGAAAGUUGUGGGAUCGAAGAUGAUCAGAUACCGUCGUAGUCACAACCGUAAACUAUGUCGACUCAGGAUCCAAGGAUGUUACAUGGAUGACUCUUUGGGCACUGUGUGCGAAAGCAUAAGUAUUCAGACUCCGGGGGGAGUAUGGUCGCAAGGCUGAAACUUAAAGGAAUUGACGGAAGGGCACCACCAGGAGUGGAACCUGCGGCUUAAUUUGACUCAACACGGGGAAACUUACCCAGUCCGGACACAACGAGGAUUGACAGAUUGAUAGCUCUUUCUUGAUUUUGUGGAAGCCGGUGCAUGGCCGUUUUUAGUUGGUGGAGUGAUUUGUCUGGUUAAGUCCGAUAACGAACGAGACCUUAUUCUGCUAAAUAGUACUAUCAACAGGUUGAUCUUAGAUUUCUUAGGGCUUGCCCGAAGUUGUCGAGGGUCGGCGUUAAGUUGUUGGUAGACAUUUACUUCUUAGAGAGACUCUUGAUAUUUUAAUCAAUGGAAGAUUGAGGCAAAAACAGGUCUGUGAUGCCGCUCGAUGUCUGGGGCUGCACGCGCGUUACACUGAAGUGUUCAACAAGUAUUACAAAUUUUACCUGGCCCGAAGGGGUCUAGGCAAUCUCGAAAGCAUUUCGUGAUGGGGAUUGUGCUUUGAAACUAUCGCACAUGAACGAGGAAUUCCUAGUAAGGGUAGGUCAUCAACCUGCCCUGAUUACGUCCCUGCCCUUUGUACACACCGCCCGUCGCUUCUACCGAUCGAAUUGCUCGAUGAGGAUUCGGGAUGAGAGGGCUUCCUUUUGGCCGAAAGGUCAGAAGAACCUUUUCAGAACCUAUUCGAAUCUCGUAAUUUAGAGGAAGAAGAAGUCGUAACAAGGUAUCCGUAGGUGAACCUGCGGAAG